Molecule: microRNA precursor, 206 nt
Organism: Oryza rufipogon (brownbeard rice)
Lineage: Eukaryota; Viridiplantae; Streptophyta; Magnoliopsida; Poales; Poaceae
Rfam family: MIR812 microRNA precursor family
Source: Rfam
AAUAAGCGCAAUUGUGGGCUUCAACGCUCAACUUUAACCAUCCGUCUUAUUUGAAAUAUUUUUAUGAUUAGUAUUUUUGUUGUUAUUAGAUGAUAAAAUAUAAAUAGUACUUUAUACAUGACUUAACUUUUAAAUUUUUUUUAUAAAUUUUUCAAAUAAAACGGACUGUCAAACGUUGGGCACGGAAAUUUAUGGCUGCACUUAUA